This 417-nucleotide ribosomal RNA is filed under the name Triticum aestivum (bread wheat). RNAcentral's name for it is "partial small subunit ribosomal RNA". The record is from RNAcentral. Lineage: Eukaryota; Viridiplantae; Streptophyta; Magnoliopsida; Poales; Poaceae.
AUGGCGCGCAGAGGGUUGCCUCACCAACCGACAUGCCCAUUUUGCACACAAGCAGACGAGACCAUCGAACACCUGCUUUUGAGCUGCGUCUUUGUGCGAACCCUGUGGGCAAAGAUCUGCGCGGUUAUUGGAAGGCCGAACUGGGUGCCGACGUUCGAAGACACCAUCAAAGAUUGGUGCACUACCUGGAUCAGCACAGAGCAAGGACCCACGGACAUACGAACUCUGUUCACGCUGGUUAUGUGGGAGCUUUGGAAGCACAGAAAUGCCAUCGUCUUCGAUGGAGCCUUGCCAUCAGUUGCAACCCUUGCGGCAUGCAUAGUGGAAGAAGCCCGGCGAUGGCUGCAGGCCGGGAAGUUGAAAGGGAGUUGGGAGGUGCGCCUUACCGAAGUAGAGAGGUGGGAUAGGGGUGAGUAG